RNAcentral lists this ribosomal RNA (120 nucleotides) under uncultured bacterium. RNAcentral's name for it is "partial 16S ribosomal RNA". It matches the Rfam family "Bacterial small subunit ribosomal RNA", at positions 215 to 334 of the family's 1533-position model. The record is from RNAcentral.
ACGCGAUUGGGUUGGCCGAUGUCCGAUUAGCUAGUUGGUGGGGUAAAGGCUUACCAAGGCGAUGAUCGGUAGCUGGUCUGAGAGGAUGAUCAGCCACACUGGGACUGAGACACGGCCCAG